AGCAGAGAAUGAUAUCCCCAGACAAGAGGAAAUUAGUAAAGAAUCCAGUUCAAAUUUAGAGUUGGAUUCUAACCCUGGAUUUGGUGAGGAAUCAAGUGAAGAAAUCAUUGAAGGAGACUCCACUGGGAAAGCCAGUAGGGAAGAACACAGGAAAACCAGCCCCAAAACUAGAUGGAGAGCUACAAUGGAAAUCCAGAGAGGAUGCAAUCUGGGAGCACAGAAUUGAUUACAACUGGGAAUACAAUGAAGAUUUUACCUGGGAAUCCAGUGGACAGUCAAAUGAAGAGUAUAAUAAGGAAGUGAUUGAUGAUUCCAGCCCUGGGAUGACAGUGGUCAACACAACAGUGAGACCUGUAAGUUAAUUUCAUUUUUGGGGGUUGUUGAUUCUUUUAGAUAUAACUUUGCUUGCAGUUUUCACUUUC
RNAcentral lists this long non-coding RNA (422 nucleotides) under Phascolarctos cinereus (koala). RNAcentral's name for it is "lncRNA (ENSPCIG00000032023.1)". The record is from RNAcentral. Lineage: Eukaryota; Metazoa; Chordata; Mammalia; Diprotodontia; Phascolarctidae.